RNAcentral lists this ribosomal RNA (510 nucleotides) under uncultured bacterium. RNAcentral describes it as "partial 16S ribosomal RNA". It matches the Rfam family "Bacterial small subunit ribosomal RNA", at positions 28 to 507 of the family's 1533-position model. The record is from RNAcentral.
GACGAACGCUGGCGGCGUGCUUAACACAUGCAAGUCGAACGAAGAGCCGUGGAAGUUUCCUCCUAUCCGUCUUCGUGGCGAACGGGUGUGUAACGCGUAAUCCACCUGCCCUUCAGAGGGGGACAACAGUUGGAAACGACUGCUAAUCCCGCAUACGAUCUAAUCUCAGCAUCGAGGAUAGAUGAAAGGUGGCGUCUACAUGUAAGCUAUCACUGAAGGCGGGGAUUGCGUCUGAUUAGCUAGGUGGAUGGGUAACGGCCUAACAAGGGGAUGAUCAGUAGCCGGUCUGGAGAGAUGAACGGCCACAAUGGGACCGGGACACGGCCCAGACCUCUACGGGAGGCAGCAGUGGGGAAACUUUCGCAAAUGACGAAAGGCUGACGGAGCAACGCCGCGGUGGGGAUGACGGCCUUCGGGUUGUAAAGACCUGGUAAUCGGGAAGAAAGGACUGCUUGCGAAUAGAGAGAAGGAUUGACGGUACCGGAACAGAAAGCCACGGCUAACUACGUG